GAUGAACGCUGGCGGCGUGCCUAAUGCAUGCAAGUCGAGCGAACGGACGAGAAUCUUGCUUCUCUGAUGUUAGCGGCGGACGGGUGAGUAACACGUGGAUAACCUACCUAUAAGACUGGGAUAACUUCGGGAAACCGGAGCUAAUACCGGAUGAUAUUUUGAACCGCAUGGUUCAAAAGUGAAAGACGGUCUUGCUGUCACUUAUAGAUGGAUCCGCGCUGCAUUAGCUAGUUGGUAAGGUAACGGCUUACCAAGGCAACGAUGCAUAGCCGACCUGAGAGGGUGAUCGGCCACACUGGAACUGAGACACGGUCCAGACUCCUACGGGAGGCAGCAGUAGGGAAUCUUCCGCAAUGGGCGAAAGCCUGACGGAGCAACGCCGCGUGAGUGAUGAAGGUCUUCGGAUCGUAAAACUCUGUUAUUAGGGAAGAACAUAUGUGUAAGUAACUGUGCACAUCUUGACGGUACCUAAUCAGAAAGCCACGGCUAACUACGUG
This 497-nucleotide ribosomal RNA is filed under the name uncultured bacterium. RNAcentral's name for it is "partial 16S ribosomal RNA". It matches the Rfam family "Bacterial small subunit ribosomal RNA", at positions 28 to 507 of the family's 1533-position model. The record is from RNAcentral.